This 863-nucleotide unclassified non-coding RNA is filed under the name Utricularia caerulea. RNAcentral's name for it is "partial contains tRNA-Leu (trnL) gene and trnL-trnF spacer region". The stretch from base 1 to 440 matches the Rfam family "Group I catalytic intron", at positions 27 to 253 of the family's 253-position model. Rfam says of the family: Group I catalytic introns are large self-splicing ribozymes. They catalyse their own excision from mRNA, tRNA and rRNA precursors in a wide range of organisms. The record is from RNAcentral. Lineage: Eukaryota; Viridiplantae; Streptophyta; Magnoliopsida; Lamiales; Lentibulariaceae.
GUAUGGAAACCUACUAAGUGAUAACUUCAAAUUCAGGGAAACCCGGAAUUAAAAAAAAAUGGGCAAUCCUGAGCCAAAUCCUGUUUUAGCAAAGAAAGGUUCAGAAAACGAAAAAAAAAAGGAUAGGUCCAGAGACUCAAUGGAAGCUGUUCUAACAAAUGGGGCCAGGAAUCGUUCCACCAAAACGUCAGAAAGGAUCUCAAAACCUAUCUAUUGAAUACUAUAUUCAAUAUAUAUUAUAUAUGGUGUUCUGAAACUCUAGAUCUAUUUUGUUAUAUGAAAAAUAGAAGAAUGGUGUGAAUUCAUUCGACAUUGAAGAAAAAACCAAAUUUUGAUUCAUCAAAUCAUUCACUCCAUAGUCUGAUUCUGAUAAACCUUUUAAAGCAACGAUCAAUCGGACAAGAUUAAAGAUAGAGUCCCUUUCUACAUGUCAAUACCGGCAACAAUGAAUUUCUAGUGAGAGGAAAUCCGUUGAUCUCAAAAUUGUGAGGGUUCAGUCCCAUCCCCAAAACAAACUAUUAACUCCAAAAGAUUAUCCUACUCUCUCCUUUUCGGUUACAAAUUGCUUUCUUUUUCUGAUUCUUUUACAAACGAAACGUAGUUGGCGUAAAUAACUUUCUCUUCUACCAUGUGAUAUAGAAUACACAUCCAAAUUUAGCAAAGAAUCCCGAUUUAAAUGAUUCACAAUCAAUAAUAUGAAACUUCGAAAGAGAAAGUGGUGAUCAAAGAAAUUUAAGUACUUGGCGAAAAAUUGCAAAUCCCACCUUUCCCUUUAAUUGACAUAGACCACAGUCAUCGACUAAAAUAAAAAAAAAAAAAAAAGGGAUUAUGGUUACUACGCAGGAAUGCCGGGAUAGUCAGCU